UUUAAAUUGGAGGUUUUCAUAUGAGAAAUAAUUUAAAUUUUAUAAAUAUUUUUUUUUAAAUUAUUUUUUUCUUCCUCGUUUAAUCUUUUCAAAAUCAACAAAUCCUCUUUUGAGAAAGAGGUGGAAGAGAGUGAUACCUUAUCCUAAAGCCUUAACCUCAUUUCUAUUUAACAUUCCCUCUCAAAAGCAAAAUGGUUGCAGCCCUUGGCCGCCCCAACCUCACCUUUGCAUGUCGCUGCAGUUUCUCCUUCAUCACUCGGUGGUCCAAUUUCUCCGCUGCAGCUCUUCCACCGCAGUUGCUUCUCUCUCGGUCACGCCGCUGGCCUGCUGCUCCACCAUUGCCACUGGUUGUGAGUGUAAGCUUGAGGCAAAAGGCGGCGGAAGUUUCCUUGCUGUGUUUCCUUUGAACAUUCUGGAGUGUCGUCUGCACUGCCUUUCCCAUCUCAGCAUCUGAAAUCUUCCAAACCAUUUUCAAACGCAAUUAGAAUAUUAAAAUAAAAACGUGCAUAUAUACAAGUGCCUGCACGUGCUUUUUUCUACAUUUAUGCAGUGAUCAGUUUAAUUUUAAUAUUAAAAUCUUAAUUAAUAACUCAUUACGAACUAAA
Molecule: long non-coding RNA, 605 nt
Organism: Manihot esculenta (cassava)
Lineage: Eukaryota; Viridiplantae; Streptophyta; Magnoliopsida; Malpighiales; Euphorbiaceae
Exons: 2
Source: RefSeq, a predicted model, not a curated record